Aedes albopictus (Asian tiger mosquito) is the source of this 1699-nucleotide long non-coding RNA. RefSeq lists it as uncharacterized. The transcript has 4 exons. The record is from RefSeq and is a predicted model, not a curated record. Lineage: Eukaryota; Metazoa; Arthropoda; Insecta; Diptera; Culicidae.
GAUCAGUUUACCCAUAAAUAUGUAAUUCAUUUACCCAUAUUUGGGUUUUGUAUGCAUAACCUAUUUUAUGGGUAAACUAUACCGAUAAAUAUAGGUAAUAUUUACUCAUAUUAUGAUCAAAGUGGCUUUACCCAUAUAUGGGUAAGUUCUAUUUACCCAUAUUUGGAUGAAAAAAUAAACAUAAUUAUUGAGCGGUAACACUCGCGAUUUGUACGUGUUUUUUUUUCGCGGAUGAAGUUUUUCAAGUUUUAUAAAAUAAGUUUUUAUUGUUUAGUCCUUGGUGAUAGUUGUGCAAUACACGGGCCAAACAAUUGAGUUCUAGGAUUUGGAUUUAUGUUGAAUAUUUAAAAGAAUUGUACGAGGUCCGAACUGAUCCUUCUCCGGCGUGGCGGAACCAAAUUUGGCAUCCCCGUUUUUGUUAAAAUAGCCACCGACAGAAAACCCCAUCCAGAACAGAAGUAUGCCCGUCUAUCUUCAGUGAGAACCGGUACAAAAUCUUCAACGAUAAUGAAGGAAUUGUCGGCAACUUUUUGGUGAGUUCCAGCCGAAUUGGAAGUGUCUCUACCAAAUAAGUCCAGGACAAGGCGAGGGCCACACAAGGAACGUACGAUUCAGCGGAACAGCAGCAUUGCUGAUUUUGAUUCCGAGCGUCGGGGAAUUACCAGAUGCAGUCCAGUACAGUGGAAUUACCAUCCGGAGCAGAAGUGUCUACGACUAAGAUCCUCACUUCGGUUCGACGGAACAUCUUCCAGUCCGGCGGAACAAAAGUAUCCCCAUCGACACCUGCUCCUAUGACUGAAACGUCCAGCCAGGCGGAUCAAUCCGUCGCGACGGUAGCAAAAAAACUGUUGCCGAACUUUCCGGCGAAUUCAAGGCCGAAUUUUAUGUGAACUACUCUCGAAAAAGUCGUCCAGUGCGAGGCGAGAACCACGCUAGAAACGAUCGCAUCAGCAGCAUUUCCGUAUUCGAUUCCGAACGUCGAGGGAAUUAUUCGAUACAGUCCGGUUCGAACCGACAAUUUCUGUUGUCCGGCGUAACUAAAACAUCCCCGUCUACAUCUCUUUCUUUGAUUAGACCGUCCAGCCUGGCGGAACAAUCCGUCGCAAUGAUAGCCAAGGAACUGUCGGCAACUUUCCGACGGAUUACAGAGUCCGAGGCCGAAUUAGAAGUGAACCUCAAUCGAACAAGACGAGGCGAGGGCGAGAACUAUGCUAGAAACGAUCUCUUCAGCAUUUCCGAAUUUGAAUCCUAACGUCCAGGCAAUUACCCGAUGCAGUGCAGUACAGCGGAAUAAUGAUCCGGAGCAAAAGCACCUACGACAGAGAUCAUCACCCCGGCUCGAAGGAACAACCUCCCGUCCAGCGGAACAAAAGCAUCUUCGUCUACAUCUCUUCCAAAAUGGGAGCACUUUGCUUAAAAUUGGUAUCAUUACUCUAAAUAAACGAGAGACAAAAAACAUUUUUUUUCAUGUUUUCUUCAUGAUCUUGAUCCGAUAUGAAAGAAUUGGAACCUGAUUUCAUUGAAACUUCUCCCUAGUAAUUAUGAAGCAGCAUUUUUUACCCAAAUAUGCGUAAAGUUUACUCAAAAUCGAAAAACUCAUAUAUGGGUAAAUAUUACCUAUAUUAAUCGUAGACACAUAAUACCCAAAUAUGGGUAAAGCCCCUUUACCUAUAAAAUGCGAAUGUGCACUUUUCGACGA